AAGUCGUAACAAGGUCUCCGUUGGUGAACCAGCGGAGGGAUCAUUACAGAGUUGUAAAACUCCCUAAACCACUGUGAACAUACACCGUUACGUUGCUUCGGCGGGUGGUCCUACUCUGGACCCGACCUCUUAGGAGGGUCAGCCCGCCGGCUGCUAAACUAUUGUCAGUUGUGUAUCUCUGAGUUAAAGACAAAAUAAGUUAAAACUUUCAACAACGGAUCUCUUGGUUCUG
RNAcentral lists this unclassified non-coding RNA (232 nucleotides) under fungal sp. RNAcentral describes it as "partial internal transcribed spacer region". The stretch from base 1 to 46 matches the Rfam family "Eukaryotic small subunit ribosomal RNA", at positions 1786 to 1831 of the family's 1831-position model. The record is from RNAcentral. Lineage: Eukaryota; Fungi.